Long non-coding RNA from Gavialis gangeticus (Gharial), 1135 nucleotides. RefSeq lists it as uncharacterized. The transcript has 2 exons. The record is from RefSeq and is a predicted model, not a curated record. NCBI's taxonomy places the organism in Eukaryota, Metazoa, Chordata, Crocodylia, Gavialidae.
CCAGGAACUAUGUAUGUUUGCCUCAUGACAUCACUGAAGAUUAGGCCCUUCAAAAUUCUACUGAACCAUCAGGAGCUCUAGUGGAAGAGACUUCAGAUGAUUCUCUAUAGAAGGGUUUUCCCACUUAUUUAUUUAAAAUGCUUUGUUCUAGGCCUACAGCUCCACAGGCUACCCCAAAAGACAUGUACAUGAUCUAGACACCAACCUUAUAGAGGUUGGAGACGCUCACUCAUAGGGGAUGGAUUUAGUUCCUCCCACUCUCCCCCUAACUAUAUCCUCAUUAGGGGAAUAUUUAUUUUUAAAGACACAGAGAUUUUGUAUAUAAAUAAAUUAUCCUCAUUAUGUAGUUCCCUACUGACCUCAUGAAAAGACAAUGAGGUCAAUGUCUUGAUAGCUCAGUCCAACUUGUUAUUUAUGACCUGUUGUUAUCAAUGGUUGUUCUCAUUGCUACUUUUUGACCAACUAAUACCAGGAAGAACCCUAGGGGUAAUGCUUAGGAAUUACUUGGUUUCUGAGGUUAUGAGCAGUGCCAUAGAGAUGGAAGAUCCCAGUAUACUGAGAACUAACAUAAUUUUGCAUAAUAGAGGAAAUCUUAGUGAAAAAAUAGAGUCCUCCCACCUCAUCCUCAUUUGUCUCUUUCUCUCAUUCCAUAUGAAAAGAUCUUUGGGUAAGAAAUGUUGCUACAGUUCUAUGGAGCACCAAGUAUAUUGGGGCUUGUAAUAUACAUAAUAAUAAUAAUAAUAGCUUGUUUUACAAAGGUUGCGAAGCACUUUGAGAUUCUUUCAUAUGCCAUGUAGUUAACAGCUUCCUCAACCUUCUUUUAAACAUGGAGAGCUAGUCUUGUUUAUAGCUACUAGAAUUGCCCAGCUUUGCUACUGUUACAUUUUGUACUUGUGUGGUCAUGUUCAAGGGUAAAUACUUGGCAUUUAUAUUAGGUGGGGAGUGUAUAACUGGGUGGACUAUCAGGGAGCACAACUCCUUUAUGAACUUAUUUUGCUACAGUAUAUCAUAUCUUGACACAAAAGGUUGCUCAUUAACUAGACUUGUGACUACAUGUUACUUUAAUUGUUUUUAUUUGGCUCUCUGCAUGGCCAGGGGCCUUUUCUAUGUAUUAAUAAACAUUACAUUAAUUUUC